CUCCAACCCAAUGUGAACGUUACCAAACUGUUGCCUCGGCGGGGUCACGCCCGGGUGCGUCGCAGCCCCGGAACCAGGCGCCCGCCGGAGGAACAACCAAACUCUUUCUGUAGUCCCCUCGCGGACGUAUUUCUUACAGCUCUGAGCAAAAAUUCAAAAUGAAUCAAAACUUUCAACAACGGAUCUCUUGGUUCUGGCAUCGAUGAAGAACGCAGCGAAAUGCGAUAAGUAAUGUGAAUUGCAGAAUUCAGUGAAUCAUCGAAUCUUUGAACGCACAUUGCGCCCGCCAGUAUUCUGGCGGGCAUGCCUGUCCGAGCGUCAUUUCAACCCUCGAACCCCUCCGGGGGAUCGGCGUUGGGGAUCGGGACCCCUCACACGGGUGCCGGCCCCGAAAUACAGUGGCGGUCUCGCCGCAGCCUCUCCUGCGCAGUAGUUUGCACAACUCGCACCGGGAGCGCGGCGCGUCCACGUCCGUAAAACACCCAACUUUCUGAAAUGUUGACCUCGGAUCAGGUAGGAAUACCCGCUGAACUUAAGCAU
Molecule: ribosomal RNA, 540 nt
Filed under: Trichoderma viride
Lineage: Eukaryota; Fungi; Ascomycota; Sordariomycetes; Hypocreales; Hypocreaceae
Description: eukaryotic LSU rRNA
Rfam family: 5.8S ribosomal RNA (bases 168-321)
Source: RNAcentral